Non-coding RNA from Podarcis lilfordi (Lilford's wall lizard), 1145 nucleotides. The record is from the annotation of a GenBank genome assembly. Lineage: Eukaryota; Metazoa; Chordata; Lepidosauria; Squamata; Lacertidae.
CCCCAAGCUUCUGAAGGCAGUGAAAGAACCAAGAGGGCUUCCUCUGCUGAUCUUAACACUGAAGGAGGUCUGUAGAGAAAGAGGCAGCCUUUCAGGUAUUUCCUCACUAGGUGUCUUUCUCCUUCCAUUUUCUCCCCCGAGUAGCACGCCAUCUUCUCAUGCCAUCAUUCUACUUCUAUCUUAUACCCUCCAAGAUUUCUCCAAUGAAAAUAGGGAUGUCCCAUUCUGAAUAUUAGUUCAAAAUACAUUUGUACAAGCAAGGAUGGAAGAAACUGGAUUAUAAAUAUGGAAUAUAACAUUAAACAGAACUGUGUGUAAAGAAAGGAAAAAGGGAGAGAAGCUCUAUUUUGGAUGGAAACUUGGAGCUGACUCCUUCCCAUCCUUUAUUAUUUACAAAGUGAACUGAAUUACGCUAAGGGAACUUGGGAUUUAAUUUAAUUGGAAGUGUAAUUGCUUAUAUAUCUGCAGUUGGAAGGAAGGAUGAAAGGAGUCCGUGAACUGCCAGGAACAGAUAGGGUUCUUUGUUGAGUCAUCUGCAGUUCCACAGACAGCUCUUCUUCCCAGGCUGAGAGGAAAAAUUGUGACAACAGGUAGUAUUUACUGAGGCAGUGACUUUGGCAGCUGUUGUUAAAGUUGCAAAACAACGAAGCAUGGGACAGAACAACUGAGAAAUUUCUGGAACAACAAUGGGAUAUCACCUCCGCCCAAGGCAUGACGGAUAACAGCAACAACCGGGGGAAAGAAAGACAUAACAUCUUACAAGGACAGGAAGAAACACAACGGACAGAAUAAUUGCCACACACAGGAAGAACAAGGAUAUAAUCUGAGUUCCUCACUUGUAGUUUUAUAAAUCAUUUAAUGUGCCAACACAAAUAGAAGUUAUUAAUAUUGCAGUUGUUGUAUGAGGGAUUACUGCUAUGACCAGAAGGUAAUUGAAAUUAAUAAGAUUUUGGAACGCAGAAAUAAAGAAAAUCCUCAAAUCUGGUAUGCGGGGGGCCACUUUAUCUAAAUUAUAUAAUUCAGUAUUUGAACGAUCAGUAUUAAUUGUAUUAUAAAUUGGUGUUGUUAUAAUGAGGCUAUGAUUGGACUGUAAUUGAAAACUAAUAAAAAAAUUAUUAAAAGAAAUUAAAUAAAAUGAUCUUAUG